AAACCGAACGACUCUCGACAACGGAUAUCUCGGCUCUCGCAUCGAUGAAGAACGUAGUGAAAUGCGAUACUUGGUGUGAAUUGCAGAAUCCCGUGAACCAUCGAGUCUUUGAACGCAAGUUGCGCCCGAAGCCGUCAGGCCGAGGGCA
This 148-nucleotide ribosomal RNA is filed under the name Cornus officinalis. RNAcentral describes it as "partial 5.8S ribosomal RNA". It matches the Rfam family "5.8S ribosomal RNA", at positions 1 to 137 of the family's 154-position model. Rfam says of the family: 5.8S ribosomal RNA (5.8S rRNA) is a component of the large subunit of the eukaryotic ribosome. It is transcribed by RNA polymerase I as part of the 45S precursor that also contains 18S and 28S rRNA. Lineage: Eukaryota; Viridiplantae; Streptophyta; Magnoliopsida; Cornales; Cornaceae. The record is from RNAcentral.